This is a microRNA precursor of Chlorocebus sabaeus (green monkey), 77 nucleotides long. NCBI's taxonomy places the organism in Eukaryota, Metazoa, Chordata, Mammalia, Primates, Cercopithecidae. The record is from Ensembl.
UGGCCUGGUCAGAGGCAGUGGGAGAUGAGAGUUAGCCAGGAGCUUUGCACUCACCCCUGCUACUCACUGGCCCCCAG